This 460-nucleotide ribosomal RNA is filed under the name Microbacterium testaceum. RNAcentral's name for it is "bacterial SSU rRNA". It matches the Rfam family "Bacterial small subunit ribosomal RNA", at positions 56 to 528 of the family's 1533-position model. Lineage: Bacteria; Bacillati; Actinomycetota; Actinomycetes; Micrococcales; Microbacteriaceae. The record is from RNAcentral.
UGCAAGUCGAACGGUGAAGCCAAGCUUGCUUGGUGGAUCAGUGGCGAACGGGUGAGUAACACGUGAGCAACCUGCCCUGGACUCUGGGAUAAGCGCUGGAAACGGCGUCUAAUACUGGAUAUGAGACGUGAUCGCAUGGUCGUGUUUGGAAAGAUUUUUCGGUCUGGGAUGGGCUCGCGGCCUAUCAGCUUGUUGGUGAGGUAAUGGCUCACCAAGGCGUCGACGGGUAGCCGGCCUGAGAGGGUGACCGGCCACACUGGGACUGAGACACGGCCCAGACUCCUACGGGAGGCAGCAGUGGGGAAUAUUGCACAAUGGGCGAAAGCCUGAUGCAGCAACGCCGCGUGAGGGAUGACGGCCUUCGGGUUGUAAACCUCUUUUAGCAGGGAAGAAGCGAAAGUGACGGUACCUGCAGAAAAAGCGCCGGCUAACUACGUGCCAGCCGCCGCGGGUAAUACAA